RNAcentral lists this ribosomal RNA (502 nucleotides) under uncultured bacterium. RNAcentral's name for it is "partial 16S ribosomal RNA". It matches the Rfam family "Bacterial small subunit ribosomal RNA", at positions 28 to 507 of the family's 1533-position model. The record is from RNAcentral.
GACGAACGCUGGCGGCGUGCUUAACACAUGCAAGUCGAACGGUGAAGGGGUCUGCUUUUGUGGGCCCUGGAUGAGUGGCGAACGGGUGAGUAACACGUGAGUAACCUGCCCCCUUCUUCUGGAUAACCGCAUGAAAGUGUGGCUAAUACGGGAUAUUCUGGGUCUGUCGCAUGAUGGGUCUGGGAAAGAUUGCGCCUUUGGGUGUUUUUGGUGGGGGAUGGGCUCGCGGCCUAUCAGCUUGUUGGUGGGGUGAUGGCCUACCAAGGCGGUGACGGGUAGCCGGCCUGAGAGGGUGGACGGUCACACUGGGACUGGGACACGGCCCAGACUCCUACGGGAGGCAGCAGUGGGGAAUAUUGCACAAUGGGCGCAAGCCUGAUGCAGCGACGCCGCGUGAGGGAUGGAGGCCUUCGGGUUGUAAACCUCUUUCGCCAGUGAAGCAGGCCUGCUCCGUGUGGGUGGGUUGACGGUAGCUGGAUAAGAAGCGCCGGCUAACUACGUG